GGAGAUGGCUCGAGACCUCGUAGAGAGAGCACUGUACAGCAUGGAAUGCGCGUUCCACCCCCUGUUCAGUCUCACCAGCGGGGCCUGCCGGCUGGAUUACCGCAGACCCGAGAACAGGAGCUUCUACCUGGCCCUCUACAAGCAGAUGAGCUUCCUGGAGAAGCGAGGCUGCCCGCGCACGGCGCUGGAGUACUGCAAGCUCAUCCUGAGUCUCGAGCCGGAUGAGGACCCCCUCUGCAUGCUGCUGCUCAUCGACCACCUGACCUUGCGGGCCCGGAACUACGAGUACCUGAUCCGCCUCUUCCAGGAGUGGGAGGCUCAUCGGAACCUGUCCCAGCUCCCGAAUUUUGCCUUCUCCGUUCCACUGGCGUAUUUCCUGCUGAGCCAGCAGACAGACCUCCCUGAGCAUGAGCGGAGCUCAGCCAGGGAGAAGGCCUCUCUCCUGAUACAGCAGGCGCUCACCAUGUUCCCUGGAGGUGAGUGUCCUGUCAGCUGUGGGGACUGCUCUUCCUGGUGGUGGAGGCCAGGUCCCCGUCCUUCCCCACACCUACAGAAACAUGCAUUCUCUGGUAGGGCCUGCAAACCUGCCCUACCAAACCUGAAAGAUGGUUGGCUCAUCUCGGAACCUGCUGCGUGCCAUGCCAGGCACGAGGAGGUGGCAGGCAUCCCGACCCCCGUGGGGCCGGUGUU
Molecule: small RNA, 690 nt
Filed under: Pongo abelii (Sumatran orangutan)
Lineage: Eukaryota; Metazoa; Chordata; Mammalia; Primates; Hominidae
Description: retained intron
Source: RNAcentral